UUCCUACGGGGGGCUGCAGUAGGGAAUAUUGCUUAAUGUGCGAAAGCGCGAAGCAGCAACGCCGCGUGUGCGAUGAAGGCCUUCGGGUCGUAAAGCACUUUUUGGAGGGAUGAGAUAGGACAGUACCUCCAGAAUAAGCCUCGGCUAACUACGUGCCAGCAGCCGCGGUAAAACGUAGGAGGCGAGCGUUAUCCGGAUUUACUGGGCGUAAAGCGCGUGCAGGCGGUUCGGCGAGUUGGAUGUGAAAGCUCCUGGCUUAACUGGGAGAGGUCGUUCAAUACUGCCGGACUCGAGAGUGGUAGAGGGAGGUGGAAUUCCGCAUGUAGUGGUGAAAUGCGUAGAUAUGCGGAGGAACACCAGUGGCGAAAGCGGCCUCCUGGCCCAUUUCUGACGCUCAGACGCGAAAGCUAGGGUAGCAAACGGGAUUAGAUACCCCUGUAGUCCG
RNAcentral lists this ribosomal RNA (445 nucleotides) under uncultured Anaerolineaceae bacterium. RNAcentral describes it as "bacterial SSU rRNA". It matches the Rfam family "Bacterial small subunit ribosomal RNA", at positions 336 to 797 of the family's 1533-position model. The record is from RNAcentral. Lineage: Bacteria; Bacillati; Chloroflexota; Anaerolineae; Anaerolineales; Anaerolineaceae.